This is a long non-coding RNA of Rosa chinensis, 673 nucleotides long. RefSeq lists it as uncharacterized. NCBI's taxonomy places the organism in Eukaryota, Viridiplantae, Streptophyta, Magnoliopsida, Rosales, Rosaceae. The record is from RefSeq and is a predicted model, not a curated record. The transcript has 6 exons.
GUUUCAAGUCUUGCUCUUGGGACAUAACACAAAACUCCUCUUCGUGUUAUUAACUCUAUCUAAAACUCAACCCCUUGAAAAAACUGUCUAGAACUCUAUCCACUCUCUCAGCAACCAAAGACUCAACUGAGAUUGUGAUCUCAAUCUCAGCCAUCUCAAUCUCUCAAACUUGAGAAUACUUACCCAAACCUAGUCUCUCCUUCAACCCAGGAAUCAUUUGCAUUCGCGUCCGGCUCUAUGGAGCUGUCCAACAACCACUCAAAAGAUUAGAGGAAGCUUGACUAUUUUCGAUUGGGUUAUUGGCCGGAGGGUUUGGGUCUUACUAGUUGGGUUUGAACAGGAAGACUUAUGAAAUUCUUCACAGUUUGAGCCUCAUCUCUGGUACUUCAUUAUUGGUCUCAUUUAUUCCGCCCUCUCUUUGUUUGGAUAAAUGCUCUAUUGAAUGACCGCUUAAGUGGAAUUCUAGGUUGUGGAGUUCUUUGCAUCUUGGUCAAGAAGAUUAUAACAGGUUGAGGCCUCUUAAUUACAGAGGAGCUGAUAUUUUUCUUCUUGCCUUUUCUCUCAUAAGUAGGCCUAGCUAUGAGAACAUAUCAAAGAAAUGGGUUCCAAAGCUUAGACAUUAUGCCUCAUCAGUGCCCAUUAUUCUCGUGGGAACUAAACUAGAUAAGUGAUA